RNAcentral lists this ribosomal RNA (2793 nucleotides) under Escherichia coli. Its description in RNAcentral is "bacterial LSU rRNA". It matches the Rfam family "Bacterial large subunit ribosomal RNA". Lineage: Bacteria; Pseudomonadati; Pseudomonadota; Gammaproteobacteria; Enterobacterales; Enterobacteriaceae. The record is from RNAcentral.
UUAAGCGACUAAGCGUACACGGUGGAUGCCCUGGCAGUCAGAGGCGAUGAAGGACGUGCUAAUCUGCGAUAAGCGUCGGUAAGGUGAUAUGAACCGUUAUAACCGGCGAUUUCCGAAUGGGGAAACCCAGUGUGAUUCGUCACACUAUCAUUAACUGAAUCCAUAGGUUAAUGAGGCGAACCGGGGGAACUGAAACAUCUAAGUACCCCGAGGAAAAGAAAUCAACCGAGAUUCCCCCAGUAGCGGCGAGCGAACGGGGAGCAGCCCAGAGCCUGAAUCAGUGUGUGUGUUAGUGGAAGCGUCUGGAAAGGCGCGCGAUACAGGGUGACAGCCCCGUACACAAAAAUGCACAUGCUGUGAGCUCGAUGAGUAGGGCGGGACACGUGGUAUCCUGUCUGAAUAUGGGGGGACCAUCCUCCAAGGCUAAAUACUCCUGACUGACCGAUAGUGAACCAGUACCGUGAGGGAAAGGCGAAAAGAACCCCGGCGAGGGGAGUGAAAAAGAACCUGAAACCGUGUACGUACAAGCAGUGGGAGCACGCUUCGGCGUGUGACUGCGUACCUUUUGUAUAAUGGGUCAGCGACUUAUAUUCUGUAGCAAGGUUAACCGAAUAGGGGAGCCGAAGGGAAACCGAGUCUUAACUGGGCGUUAAGUUGCAGGGUAUAGACCCGAAACCCGGUGAUCUAGCCAUGGGCAGGUUGAAGGUUGGGUAACACUAACUGGAGGACCGAACCGACUAAUGUUGAAAAAUUAGCGGAUGACUUGUGGCUGGGGGUGAAAGGCCAAUCAAACCGGGAGAUAGCUGGUUCUCCCCGAAAGCUAUUUAGGUAGCGCCUCGUGAAUUCAUCUCCGGGGGUAGAGCACUGUUUCGGCAAGGGGGUCAUCCCGACUUACCAACCCGAUGCAAACUGCGAAUACCGGAGAAUGUUAUCACGGGAGACACACGGCGGGUGCUAACGUCCGUCGUGAAGAGGGAAACAACCCAGACCGCCAGCUAAGGUCCCAAAGUCAUGGUUAAGUGGGAAACGAUGUGGGAAGGCCCAGACAGCCAGGAUGUUGGCUUAGAAGCAGCCAUCAUUUAAAGAAAGCGUAAUAGCUCACUGGUCGAGUCGGCCUGCGCGGAAGAUGUAACGGGGCUAAACCAUGCACCGAAGCUGCGGCAGCGACGCUUAUGCGUUGUUGGGUAGGGGAGCGUUCUGUAAGCCUGUGAAGGUGUGCUGUGAGGCAUGCUGGAGGUAUCAGAAGUGCGAAUGCUGACAUAAGUAACGAUAAAGCGGGUGAAAAGCCCGCUCGCCGGAAGACCAAGGGUUCCUGUCCAACGUUAAUCGGGGCAGGGUGAGUCGACCCCUAAGGCGAGGCCGAAAGGCGUAGUCGAUGGGAAACAGGUUAAUAUUCCUGUACUUGGUGUUACUGCGAAGGGGGGACGGAGAAGGCUAUGUUGGCCGGGCGACGGUUGUCCCGGUUUAAGCGUGUAGGCUGGUUUUCCAGGCAAAUCCGGAAAAUCAAGGCUGAGGCGUGAUGACGAGGCACUACGGUGCUGAAGCAACAAAUGCCCUGCUUCCAGGAAAAGCCUCUAAGCAUCAGGUAACAUCAAAUCGUACCCCAAACCGACACAGGUGGUCAGGUAGAGAAUACCAAGGCGCUUGAGAGAACUCGGGUGAAGGAACUAGGCAAAAUGGUGCCGUAACUUCGGGAGAAGGCACGCUGAUAUGUAGGUGAAGUCCCUCGCGGAUGGAGCUGAAAUCAGUCGAAGAUACCAGCUGGCUGCAACUGUUUAUUAAAAACACAGCACUGUGCAAACACGAAAGUGGACGUAUACGGUGUGACGCCUGCCCGGUGCCGGAAGGUUAAUUGAUGGGGUUAGCCGCAAGGCGAAGCUCUUGAUCGAAGCCCCGGUAAACGGCGGCCGUAACUAUAACGGUCCUAAGGUAGCGAAAUUCCUUGUCGGGUAAGUUCCGACCUGCACGAAUGGCGUAAUGAUGGCCAGGCUGUCUCCACCCGAGACUCAGUGAAAUUGAACUCGCUGUGAAGAUGCAGUGUACCCGCGGCAAGACGGAAAGACCCCGUGAACCUUUACUAUAGCUUGACACUGAACAUUGAGCCUUGAUGUGUAGGAUAGGUGGGAGGCUUUGAAGUGUGGACGCCAGUCUGCAUGGAGCCGACCUUGAAAUACCACCCUUUAAUGUUUGAUGUUCUAACGUUGACCCGUAAUCCGGGUUGCGGACAGUGUCUGGUGGGUAGUUUGACUGGGGCGGUCUCCUCCUAAAGAGUAACGGAGGAGCACGAAGGUUGGCUAAUCCUGGUCGGACAUCAGGAGGUUAGUGCAAUGGCAUAAGCCAGCUUGACUGCGAGCGUGACGGCGCGAGCAGGUGCGAAAGCAGGUCAUAGUGAUCCGGUGGUUCUGAAUGGAAGGGCCAUCGCUCAACGGAUAAAAGGUACUCCGGGGAUAACAGGCUGAUACCGCCCAAGAGUUCAUAUCGACGGCGGUGUUUGGCACCUCGAUGUCGGCUCAUCACAUCCUGGGGCUGAAGUAGGUCCCAAGGGUAUGGCUGUUCGCCAUUUAAAGUGGUACGCGAGCUGGGUUUAGAACGUCGUGAGACAGUUCGGUCCCUAUCUGCCGUGGGCGCUGGAGAACUGAGGGGGGCUGCUCCUAGUACGAGAGGACCGGAGUGGACGCAUCACUGGUGUUCGGGUUGUCAUGCCAAUGGCACUGCCCGGUAGCUAAAUGCGGAAGAGAUAAGUGCUGAAAGCAUCUAAGCACGAAACUUGCCCCGAGAUGAGUUCUCCCUGAC